RNAcentral lists this long non-coding RNA (749 nucleotides) under Lotus japonicus. RNAcentral describes it as "long non-coding RNA (LJAP_LNC000342)". The record is from RNAcentral. Lineage: Eukaryota; Viridiplantae; Streptophyta; Magnoliopsida; Fabales; Fabaceae.
AAAGCCAGACUUGCUGGUUGCUAAUAUUGUUAAGGACAAAAACUUGAAAACCAUUGCUAGGUUCAUAAAAGUUGGUGAUGCUGCAAAUUUCUUGUAACCAUUCUACCUACCAAAAGAAAUACUUGAUUGAGAUGAUGACAUCAUUAUCAAACAUAUAAUAGAGGCUUUCAUCCUAAUUUCUACUGUCUGAGUGUCUGUGUGCAGGUAAAGUUCUGGUUUUGGCAUAAAAGAAAAUGGAGCAGGGGAAGGCUGGUGUGAAAGUGGGGCAUGUCCCUAGUCUUUCUAGUAGUGCUUGUACUUUCUAAGUUGUAAGUGCACUCUGCAACUUCAGACUAGAGUCUGUCCAAGAUAAGAAACUACUAGUGCGUUUGGAUUGUGUAGUGGCACAAAAUCUAUAGCACAAUAAGUCCAAACGUGAUUAUACUUGACAACUUUCCAUAAGUGAUUAUACUCGACAACUUCCCAUAUGUGAAGAACGAAACACACAAAAUCAAAGUUGUAAUACAUGUUUGGAUAUAUAGCAGAAAAUCAUAAUGACACCAAAGCCAUUGUGAACAGACGCAAAAACUAAGAUGUUGUUUUUCGUCCAAGGUAAUUUUAACUUCACUAUAAUUUUCCACUUGUAUGAAAAAAUGAACAUAGUUAAGCGGAAAUGAAGGUGUAUAUAGACAUCCACCUUUGGUAUUCUUCGGAGAGAGAUUGUAUCCCUUUAAGUUGAUGGAUUGUUUUUAGUUUGGUUAUGCUCUGCA